RNAcentral lists this ribosomal RNA (609 nucleotides) under uncultured marine eukaryote. RNAcentral describes it as "SSU rRNA". It matches the Rfam family "Eukaryotic small subunit ribosomal RNA", at positions 613 to 1220 of the family's 1831-position model. The record is from RNAcentral.
UUGCGGUUAAAAAGCUCGUAGUUGGAUCUCGGCAAGUAGAGGGCGGUAUUGCUUCGUAGCAUGUACUGCCCUAUUACUUGUAGUUUUGCCAGAGGUGUCCUGGGUGCUCUUAAUCGAGUGUCUAGGGAUGCUGGCAGGUUUACUUUGAAAAAAUUAGAGUGCUCAAAGCAGGCUAUUACGCUUGAAUAUUCGUGCAUGGAAUAAUAGAAUAGGAAGUUGUUUCUAUUUUGUUGGUUUUCGGAAAUCGACUUAAUGAUUAAUAGGGACAGUCGGGGGCAUUUGUAUUCAAACGACAGAGGUGAAAUUCUUGGACCGUUUGAAGACAAACUACUGCGAAAGCAUUUGCCAAGAAUGUUUUCAUUAAUCAAGAACGAAAGUUAGAGGUUCGAAGGCGAUUAGAUACCGCCCUAGUUCUAACCAUAAACGAUGCCAGCUAGCGAUCUGAGGACGUUUUUUUUGUAGACUCCUCAGGAAGCUUCCGGGAAACCAAAGCGUGUGGGUUCCGGGGGAAGUAUGGUUGCAAAGCUGAAACUUAAAGGAAUUGACGGAAGGGCACCACCAGGAGUGGAGCCUGCGGCUUAAUUUGACUCAACACGGGAAAUCUCACCA